GACAAAAACCUGGACUUUACAGAACAGGUGUACUUAUUAGACUUAAACCGAUUACUAAUUUAUUAGUAAAUUUAAAAUGAAUUAAAAUAAGUUUAUGAAUCGCAGAUCAUUUUGUGAUGAUAAGAAUGAAUUUCUGCCCUAUCAACUUUCGAUGGUAAUGUAGUGGAUUACCAUGGUGAUGACGGGUAACGGGGAAUUAGGGUUUGAUUCCGGAGAAAAGGCCUGAGAGACGGCCAUUACUUCUAAGGAAGGCAGCAGGCGCGUAAAUUACCCAAUCCUAAUACGGGGAGGUAGUGACAAGAAAUAUUGAUAUUGGACCCAAAGGGUACAAUGAUUGAAAUGAGAACAAUAUAAAAAACUUAACGACUAACAAUUGGAGGGCAAGUCUGGUGCCAGCAGCCGCGGUAAUUCCAGCUCCAAGAGUGUAUAUUAAAGUUGUUGCGGUUAAAAAGCUCGUAGUUGAAUUUCUGAAAAUAAUCUUGUGAUUGAUU
RNAcentral lists this ribosomal RNA (491 nucleotides) under uncultured eukaryote. RNAcentral describes it as "bacterial SSU rRNA". It matches the Rfam family "Eukaryotic small subunit ribosomal RNA", at positions 173 to 665 of the family's 1831-position model. The record is from RNAcentral.